Molecule: long non-coding RNA, 612 nt
Filed under: Nicotiana benthamiana
Lineage: Eukaryota; Viridiplantae; Streptophyta; Magnoliopsida; Solanales; Solanaceae
Description: long non-coding RNA (NBEN_LNC023034)
Source: RNAcentral
UUCUUCGACCCAUUGGGCCUUGCUGCUGACCCGGAGAAAAAGGCCACACUUCAACUUGCUGAGAUCAAGCAUGCUCGUCUUGCUAUGGUUGCAUUCUUGGGUUUUGCUGUCCAAGCUGCUGCUACUGGAAAAGGCCCACUUAACAACUGGGCUACCCACUUGAGUGACCCACUUCACACUACCAUUUUCGACACCUUCGGCUUCUUCUCUUAAGCCCAGCCCAGCUCACCUUUGUUUUUUCAGCUCGAUCUAGUUGAGAGGAUGGUUUUACGUAUAUUAUAUUAUUAUAUUCAUCUGCAUCUUUUCUUAAGCCCAGCACACCUUGUUUUUCAGCUCGAUCUAGUUGAGAGGAUGGUUUUACGUAUAUUAUAUUAUUAUAUUAUUAUAUUCAUCUGAAUCUUGUAAAAAUUGUAACAUUUGACACUCUAAGGAGAAGGCAAUAUCAAACGCUAUUGUUAAUCUAAGUUUGUCCUGUUCUUCAGUGUUGAUAUCGCAAAUUUUCUUACUUCCUUAUGGUUGCAUAAGGAAAUGAUAUAUGAAUGCCAUAGGGUUCUACAAUAGUAAAUCUAAGAGAUUGAUUAACAAAAUAUGCAUAAAAGAGGAUAGGCGUUA